RNAcentral lists this ribosomal RNA (549 nucleotides) under uncultured Rhizophagus. Its description in RNAcentral is "SSU rRNA". It matches the Rfam family "Eukaryotic small subunit ribosomal RNA", at positions 548 to 1098 of the family's 1831-position model. The record is from RNAcentral. Lineage: Eukaryota; Fungi; Glomeromycota; Glomeromycetes; Glomerales; Glomeraceae.
UUGGAGGGCAAGUCUGGUGCCAGCAGCCGCGGUAAUUCCAGCUCCAAUAGCGUAUAUUAAAGUUGUUGCAGUUAAAAAGCUCGUAGUUGAAUUUCGGGGUUAGUAGGUUGGUCAUGCCUCUGGUAUGUACUGGUCUCACUGAUUCCUCCUUCCUGAUGAACCUUAAUGCCAUUUAUUUGGUGUUUUGGGGAAUUUGGACUGUUACUUUGAAAAAAUUAGAGUGUUUAAAGCAAGCUAACGCUUGAAUACAUUAGCAUGGAAUAAUGAAAUAGGACGUUCGAUCCUAUUUUGUUGGUUUCUAGGAUUGACGUAAUGAUUAAUAGGGAUAGUUGGGGGCAUUAGUAUUCAAUUGUCAGAGGUGAAAUUCUUGGAUUUAUUGAAGACUAACUACUGCGAAAGCAUUUGCCAAGGAUGUUUUCAUUAGUCAAGAACGAAAGCUAGGGGAUCGAAGACGAUCAGAUACCGUCGUAGUCUUAACCAUAAACUAUGCCGACUAGGGAUCGGAUGAUGUUAAUUUUUUAAUGACUCAUUCGGCGCCUUACGGGAAAC